GGGCAAGGGGGGGGGCUACACAUGCAGUCGAGCGCUACAUGCAUGCCAGUGCUGUGUGCUCGUGGAUGAUUGCCGAACAGGGGAGUGACACACGUAUGACCUGUGCCCGCCUUACUGGUAUAACUGGGAAACUGGGUCUAUUAUAGGAUAUAACUUCUGUCACGCCAUUGCUGAAUAAGGAAAGACUGAUACUGCUGUCACUUGGGGAUGGGCCUGCGGCGCAUUAUCUAGUUGGUGGGGUAACGGCUCACCAAGGCGACGAUGCGUAGCCGACCUGAGAGGGUGAACGGCCACACUGGGACUGAGACACGGCCCAGACUCCUACGGGAGGCAGCAGUAGGGAAUCUUCCGCAAUGGGCGAAAGCCUGACGGAGCAACGCCGCGUGAGUGAUGAAGGUUUUCGGAUCGUAAAGCUCUGUUGCCAAGGAAGAACGUCUUCUAGAGUAACUGCUAGGAGAGUGACGGUACUUGAGAAGAAAGCCCCGGCUAACUACGUGCCAGCAGCCGCGGUAUACGUAGGGGGCAAGCGUUGUCCGGAAUUAUUGGGCGUAAAGCGCGCGCAGGCGGUUCUUUAAGUCUGGUGUUUAACCCGAGGCUCAACUUCGGGUCGCACUGGAACUGGGGGACUUGAGUGCAGAAGAGGAGAGUGGAAUUCCACGUGUAGCGGUGAAAUGCGUAGAUAUGUGGAGGAACACCAGUGGCGAAGCGACUCUCUGGGUGUACUGACGCUGAGGCGCGAAACGUGGGAGCAACAGGAUUAGAUACCCUGGUAGUCCACGC
This 780-nucleotide ribosomal RNA is filed under the name Paenibacillus lautus. Its description in RNAcentral is "bacterial SSU rRNA". It matches the Rfam family "Bacterial small subunit ribosomal RNA", at positions 33 to 800 of the family's 1533-position model. Lineage: Bacteria; Bacillati; Bacillota; Bacilli; Caryophanales; Paenibacillaceae. The record is from RNAcentral.